This 382-nucleotide ribosomal RNA is filed under the name uncultured eukaryote. RNAcentral's name for it is "SSU rRNA". It matches the Rfam family "Eukaryotic small subunit ribosomal RNA", at positions 587 to 972 of the family's 1831-position model. The record is from RNAcentral.
AGCUCCAAUAGCGUAUAUUAAAGUUGUUGCAGUUAAAAGCUCGUAGUUGGAUUUCUGGCAGGAGCGACCGGUCACACACUCUGUGUGUGAACUCGUGUUGUCUCUGGCCAUCCUCGGGGAGAUCCUGUUUGGCAUUAAGUUGUCGGGCAGGGGAUACCCGUCGUUUACUGUGAAAAAUUAGAGUGUUUAAAGCAGGCUUAUGCCGUUGAAUAUAUUAGCAUGGAAUAAUAAGAUAGGACUUCGGAACUAUUUUGUUGGUUUGCGUUACGAAGUAAUGAUUAAUAGGGACAGUUGGGGGUAUUCGUAUUUCGUUGUCAGAGGUGAAAUUCUUGGAUUUCCGAAAGACGAACUACUGCGAAAGCAUUUACCAAGGAUGUUUUCA